Molecule: unclassified non-coding RNA, 336 nt
Filed under: soil metagenome
Description: partial contains 5.8S ribosomal RNA, internal transcribed spacer 2, and large subunit ribosomal RNA
Rfam family: 5.8S ribosomal RNA (bases 1-120)
Source: RNAcentral
GAUGAAGAACGUAGCGAAAUGCGAUAAGUAGUGUGAAUUGCAGAAUUCAGUGAAUCAUCGAAUCUUUGAACGCACAUUGCGCCCCUUGGUAUUCCAUGGGGCAUGCCUGUUCGAGCGUCAUUUGUACCUUCAAGCUUCGCUUGGUGUUGGGUGUUUGUCUCGCCUUUGCGUGUAGACUCGCCUUAAAAUAAUUGGCAGCCGGCGUAUUGAUUUCGGAGCGCAGUACAUCUCGCGCUUUGCACUCAUAACGACAGCGUCCAAAAGUACAUUUUACACUCUUGACCUCGGAUCAGGUAGGGAUACCCGCUGAACUUAAGCAUAUCAAUAAGCGGAGGA